UACGAAGGGUGCAAGCGUUACUCGGAAUUACUGGGCGUAAAGCGUGCGUAGGUGGUGGUUUAAGUCCGUUGUGGAAGCCCUGGGCUCAACCUGGGAACUGCAGUGGAUACUGGAUCACUAGAGUGUGGCAGAGGGUAGUGGAAUUCCCGGUGUAGCAGUGAAAUGCGUAGAGAUCGGGAGGAACAUCAGUGGCGAAGGCGACUGCCUGGGCCAACACUGACACUGAGGCACGAAAGCGUGGGGAGCAAAC
Molecule: ribosomal RNA, 250 nt
Filed under: uncultured bacterium
Lineage: Bacteria
Description: partial 16S ribosomal RNA
Rfam family: Bacterial small subunit ribosomal RNA
Source: RNAcentral